This 2773-nucleotide ribosomal RNA is filed under the name Escherichia coli. Its description in RNAcentral is "bacterial LSU rRNA". The record is from RNAcentral. Lineage: Bacteria; Pseudomonadati; Pseudomonadota; Gammaproteobacteria; Enterobacterales; Enterobacteriaceae.
AGCGUACACGGUGGAUGCCCUGGCAGUCAGAGGCGAUGAAGGACGUGCUAAUCUGCGAUAAGCGUCGGUAAGGUGAUAUGAACCGUUAUAACCGGCGAUUUCCGAAUGGGGAAACCCAGUGUGUUUCGAYACACUAUCAUUAACUGAAUCCAUAGGUUAAUGAGGCGAACCGGGGGAACUGAAACAUCUAAGUACCCCGAGGAAAAGAAAUCAACCGAGAUUCCCCCAGUAGCGGCGAGCGAACGGGGAGSAGCCCAGAGCCUGAAUCAGUGUGUGUGUUAGUGGAAGCGUCUGGAAAGGCGCGCGAUACAGGGUGACAGCCCCGUACACAAAAAURCACAUAYUGUGAGCUCGAUGAGUAGGGCGGGACACGUGGUAUCCUGUCUGAAUAUGGGGGGACCAUCCUCCAAGGCUAAAUACUCCUGACUGACCGAUAGUGAACCAGUACCGUGAGGGAAAGGCGAAAAGAACCCCGGCGAGGGGAGUGAAAAAGAACCUGAAACCGUGUACGUACAAGCAGUGGGAGCACGCUUAGGCGUGUGACUGCGUACCUUUUGUAUAAUGGGUCAGCGACUUAUAUUCUGUAGCAAGGUUAACCGAAUAGGGGAGCCGAAGGGAAACCGAGUCUUAACUGGGCGUUAAGUUGCAGGGUAUAGACCCGAAACCCGGUGAUCUAGCCAUGGGCAGGUUGAAGGUUGGGUAACACUAACUGGAGGACCGAACCGACUAAUGUUGAAAAAUUAGCGGAUGACUUGUGGCUGGGGGUGAAAGGCCAAUCAAACCGGGAGAUAGCUGGUUCUCCCCGAAAGCUAUUUAGGUAGCGCCUCGUGAAUUCAUCUCCGGGGGUAGAGCACUGUUUCGGCAAGGGGGUCAUCCCGACUUACCAACCCGAUGCAAACUGCGAAUACCGGAGAAUGUUAUCACGGGAGACACACGGCGGGUGCUAACGUCCGUCGUGAAGAGGGAAACAACCCAGACCGCCAGCUAAGGUCCCAAAGUCAUGGUUAAGUGGGAAACGAUGUGGGAAGGCCCAGACAGCCAGGAUGUUGGCUUAGAAGCAGCCAUCAUUUAAAGAAAGCGUAAUAGCUCACUGGUCGAGUCGGCCUGCGCGGAAGAUGUAACGGGGCUAAACCAUGCACCGAAGCUGCGGCAGCGACGCUUAUGCGUUGUUGGGUAGGGGAGCGUUCUGUAAGCCUGCGAAGGUGUGCUGUGAGGCAUGCUGGAGGUAUCAGAAGUGCGAAUGCUGACAUAAGUAACGAUAAAGCGGGUGAAAAGCCCGCUCGCCGGAAGACCAAGGGUUCCUGUCCAACGUUAAUCGGGGCAGGGUGAGUCGACCCCUAAGGCGAGGCCGAAAGGCGUAGUCGAUGGGAAACAGGUUAAUAUUCCUGUACUUGGUGUUACUGCGAAGGGGGGACGGAGAAGGCUAUGUUGGCCGGGCGACGGUUGUCCCGGUUUAAGCGUGUAGGCUGGUUUUCCAGGCAAAUCCGGAAAAUCAAGGCUGAGGCGUGAUGACGAGGCACUACGGUGCUGAAGCAACAAAUGCCCUGCUUCCAGGAAAAGCCUCUAAGCAUCAGGUAACAUCAAAUCGUACCCCAAACCGACACAGGUGGUCAGGUAGAGAAUACCAAGGCGCUUGAGAGAACUCGGGUGAAGGAACUAGGCAAAAUGGUGCCGUAACUUCGGGAGAAGGCACGCUGAUAUGUAGGUGAGGUCCCUCGCGGAUGGAGCUGAAAUCAGUCGAAGAUACCAGCUGGCUGCAACUGUUUAUUAAAAACACAGCACUGUGCAAACACGAAAGUGGACGUAUACGGUGUGACGCCUGCCCGGUGCCGGAAGGUUAAUUGAUGGGGUUAGCGCAAGCGAAGCUCUUGAUCGAAGCCCCGGUAAACGGCGGCCGUAACUAUAACGGUCCUAAGGUAGCGAAAUUCCUUGUCGGGUAAGUUCCGACCUGCACGAAUGGCGUAAUGAUGGCCAGGCUGUCUCCACCCGAGACUCAGUGAAAUUGAACUCGCUGUGAAGAUGCAGUGUACCCGCGGCAAGACGGAAAGACCCCGUGAACCUUUACUAUAGCUUGACACUGAACAUUGAGCCUUGAUGUGUAGGAUAGGUGGGAGGCUUWGAAGUGUGGACGCCAGUCUGCAUGGAGCCGACCUUGAAAUACCACCCUUUAAUGUUUGAUGUUCUAACGUUGACCCGUAAUCCGGGUUGCGGACAGUGUCUGGUGGGUAGUUUGACUGGGGCGGUCUCCUCCUAAAGAGUAACGGAGGAGCACGAAGGUUGGCUAAUCCUGGUCGGACAUCAGGAGGUUAGUGCAAUGGCAUAAGCCAGCUUGACUGCGAGCGUGACGGCGCGAGCAGGUGCGAAAGCAGGUCAUAGUGAUCCGGUGGUUCUGAAUGGAAGGGCCAUCGCUCAACGGAUAAAAGGUACUCCGGGGAUAACAGGCUGAUACCGCCCAAGAGUUCAUAUCGACGGCGGUGUUUGGCACCUCGAUGUCGGCUCAUCACAUCCUGGGGCUGAAGUAGGUCCCAAGGGUAUGGCUGUUCGCCAUUUAAAGUGGUACGCGAGCUGGGUUUAGAACGUCGUGAGACAGUUCGGUCCCUAUCUGCCGUGGGCGCUGGAGAACUGAGGGGGGCUGCUCCUAGUACGAGAGGACCGGAGUGGACGCAUCACUGGUGUUCGGGUUGUCAUGCCAAUGGCACUGCCCGGUAGCUAAAUGCGGAAGAGAUAAGUGCUGAAAGCAUCUAAGCACGAAACUUGCCCCGAGAUGAGUUCU